GUCCUCCCUCAAGAUUGCACCUGGGGAGUUUCCAGGACUCUACCAGUCUCGGCUACAGGAGGGAGAGUCAAGCAGGGGCAUACUCAUUCCAUUCCUAGCUUGGGCAGUGGCUAGCAAGUGGAAGGCAAUCUGCUACAAGU
This 140-nucleotide small nucleolar RNA is filed under the name Ornithorhynchus anatinus (platypus). The record is from RNAcentral. Lineage: Eukaryota; Metazoa; Chordata; Mammalia; Monotremata; Ornithorhynchidae.